ACUCAGGUGUUGUUGGGUAGGGGAGCGUUCUGUAAGCCUGCGAAGGUGGCCUGUGAGGGUUGCUGGAGGUAUCAGAAGUGCGAAUGCUGACAUAAGUAACGAUAAAGCGGGUGAAAAGCCCGCUCGCCGGAAGACCAAGGGUUCCUGUCCAACGUUAAUCGGGGCAGGGUGAGUCGACCCCUAAGGCGAGGCCGAAAGGCGUAGUCGAUGGGAAACGGGUUAAUAUUCCCGUACUUGGUGUUACUGCGAAGGGGGGACGGAGAAGGCUAUGUUGGCCGGGCGACGGUUGUCCCGGUUUAAGCGUGUAGGUGUGUGUUCCAGGUAAAUCCGGUUCACUUUAACACUGAGGCGUGAUGACGAGGCACUACGGUGCUGAAGCAACAAAUGCCCUGCUUCCAGGAAAAGCCUCUAAGCAUCAGGUAACAUCAAAUCGUACCCCAAACCGACACAGGUGGUCAGGUAGAGAAUACCAAGGCGCUUGAGAGAACUCGGGUGAAGGAACUAGGCAAAAUGGUGCCGUAACUUCGGGAGAAGGCACGCUGACAUGUAGGUGAAGUGAUUUACUCA
This 567-nucleotide ribosomal RNA is filed under the name Salmonella enterica subsp. enterica serovar Infantis. RNAcentral's name for it is "partial 23S ribosomal RNA". It matches the Rfam family "Bacterial large subunit ribosomal RNA", at positions 1211 to 1773 of the family's 2925-position model. Lineage: Bacteria; Pseudomonadati; Pseudomonadota; Gammaproteobacteria; Enterobacterales; Enterobacteriaceae. The record is from RNAcentral.